Molecule: ribosomal RNA, 590 nt
Filed under: uncultured bacterium
Lineage: Bacteria
Description: bacterial SSU rRNA
Rfam family: Bacterial small subunit ribosomal RNA
Source: RNAcentral
UUGAUCAUGGCUCAGAACGAACGCUGGCGGCGUGCCUAAUACAUGCAAGUCGAACGUGAAAGUCCUUCGGGAUGAGUAAAGUGGCGCACGGGUGAGUAACACGUGGGUAAUCUGCCUUCUAGUGGGGAACAACUCAGGGAAACUUGAGCUAAUACCGCAUAAGAAAGAAAUUUGAAAGGUGGCCUCUAUUUAUAAGCUAUCGCUGGAAGAAGAGCCUGCGCUGUAUUAGCUAGUUGGUGGGGUAAUGGCCUACCAAGGCAACGAUACAUAUCCGGUCUGAGAGGAUGAUCGGACACACUGGAACUGAGACACGGUCCAGACUCCUACGGGAGGCAGCAGUAGGGAAUAUUGCGCAAUGGGGGAAACCCUGACGCAGCAACGCCGCGUGAGUGAGGAAGGUCUUCGGAUUGUAAAACUCUUUUAUUAGGGAAAAAUGUCUAGGUGGCUAAUAUCCACUUAGAGUGAUGGUACCUAAGGAAUAAGCACCGGCUAACUUCGUGCCAGCAGCCGCGGUAAUACGAAGGGUGCAAGCGUUGUUCGGAAUCAUUGGGCGUAAAGCGCGCGCAGGCGGGUCAGUAAGUCAGGUGUGA